UACGAAGGGGGCUAGCGUUGCUCGGAAUUACUGGGCGUAAAGGGUGCGUAGGCGACUUUCUAAGUUGGAUGUGAAAACUAUGGGCUCAACCCAUAGCCUGCAUCCAAAACUGGAGAGCUUGGGUUCUGGAGGGGAAAGCGGAAUUCCUGGUGUAGCGGUGAAAUGCGUAGAUAUCAGGAGGAACACCGGUGGCGAAGGCGGCUUUCUGGACAGAUACCGACGCUGAGGCACGAAAGCUAGGGGAGCAAACAGG
This 253-nucleotide ribosomal RNA is filed under the name uncultured bacterium. RNAcentral's name for it is "partial 16S ribosomal RNA". It matches the Rfam family "Bacterial small subunit ribosomal RNA", at positions 524 to 776 of the family's 1533-position model. The record is from RNAcentral.